CAUUUCAUCUGAAUGCAGUAGCUCAUUAUACAGUUAUACCACCGACCACACAUCGUCAUAUUUACUUCGACACUCUGAGGGAAAAUUUCGACCAGAAUUUUUCUCGCCUUCGGAAUGAAAGCUCUGGUAAUUAUAAUUUGGUUUACAAUCGCUUCAGUCUUUGGUCAGGACUCAUUUCCUCCGUGCAAAUGGACCUCCAAUCAAUGGACAUCGUUUAAGCAAUGUGUGGGUACUCAAACGAAUGAAGUAAUUGGAAGGUGUAUGCGUCAGCAAAGUGCUGCCAAAGAUUGGAUUACGACAAGGAAUACAAUUUGUGCUAGUCAGAGCAAAAGGGACGCGAUCAAGAACUGUCUGCUCAAAGAUACCAAAACGCAUGCCAGUUUGAUGAGAUGCAACAACAGAAUGAAUGCACAAAGUUCGAACAGAGCUGGUUAAUUUCGAGGUUAAUUUUAAUUUGAAAUUCUCAAAUGUUGAUGAAG
Molecule: long non-coding RNA, 479 nt
Organism: Bradysia coprophila
Lineage: Eukaryota; Metazoa; Arthropoda; Insecta; Diptera; Sciaridae
Source: RefSeq, a predicted model, not a curated record